RNAcentral lists this ribosomal RNA (469 nucleotides) under Tetracha fulgida. RNAcentral describes it as "16S rRNA". It matches the Rfam family "Bacterial large subunit ribosomal RNA", at positions 1858 to 2583 of the family's 2925-position model. The record is from RNAcentral. Lineage: Eukaryota; Metazoa; Arthropoda; Insecta; Coleoptera; Carabidae.
CCUGCCCAAUGAUUAUAUAAUUAAAUGGCCGCAGUAUUUUGACUGUGCAAAGGUAGCGUAAUCAUUAGUUUUUUAAUUGAAAGCUUGUAUGAAUGGUUGGACGAGGUAAAUACUGUCUUUAUUUAAUUUAAUUUAGAAUUUAACUUUUGAGUGAAAAGGCUUAAAUUUUAUUAAUAGACGAAAAGACCCUGUAGAUCUUUAUAAGUUAGUAAUUAAUUGUCUUAGGAUUAUUUAUUGAUUAAUUAUAAACCUUAUUUUAUUGGGGUAAUAUGAAGAUUCAAUGAAUUCUUUGAUUUACGAACAGGGAUAACUGGUUAAUUGAUCCAUCAUUAUUGAUUGUAAGAUUAAGUUACCUUAGGGAUAACAGCGUAAUUUUUUUGGAGAGUUCAUAUCGAUAAAAAAGUUUGCGACCUCGAUGUUGGAUUAAAAAUUAUUCUGGGUGUAGAAUUUCAGAAAUUUGGUCUGUUCG